UAAUGGGACCAUCUAAGAUCAAGCUGCUGA
Molecule: non-coding RNA, 30 nt
Filed under: Homo sapiens (human)
Lineage: Eukaryota; Metazoa; Chordata; Mammalia; Primates; Hominidae
Source: RNAcentral